CCUACGGGCGGCAGCAGUGAGGAAUAUUGGUCAAUGGACGCAAGUCUGAACCAGCCAUGCCGCGUGCAGGAUGACGGCUCUAUGAGUUGUAAACUGCUUUUGUACGAGGGUAAACGCCGAUACGUGUAUAGGGGUGAAAGUAUCGUACGAAUAAGGAUCGGCUAACGCCGUGCCAGUAGGCGCGGGAAGACGGAGGAGCCGAGCGUUAUCCGGAUUUAUUGGGUUUAAAGGGUGCGUAGGCGGUUUGAUAAGUUAGAGGUGAAAUGGCGGGGCUAAACCCCGAAACUGCCUCUAAUACUGUUGGACUAGAGAAUAGUUGCGGUAGGCGGAAUGUAUGGUGUAGCGGUGAAAUGCUUAGAGAUCAUACAGAACACCGAUUGCGAAGGCAGCUUACCAAACUAUAUCUGACGUUGAGGCACGAAAGCGUGGGUAGCAAACAGGAUUAGAUACCCCAGUAGUC
This 460-nucleotide ribosomal RNA is filed under the name uncultured bacterium. Its description in RNAcentral is "partial 16S ribosomal RNA". It matches the Rfam family "Bacterial small subunit ribosomal RNA", at positions 338 to 795 of the family's 1533-position model. The record is from RNAcentral.